This 502-nucleotide ribosomal RNA is filed under the name uncultured bacterium. Its description in RNAcentral is "partial 16S ribosomal RNA". It matches the Rfam family "Bacterial small subunit ribosomal RNA", at positions 30 to 523 of the family's 1533-position model. The record is from RNAcentral.
AUUGAACGCUGGCGGCAGGCUUAACACAUGCAAGUCGAGCGGGGUGAUGGUGCUUGCACUAUCACUUAGCGGCGGACGGGUGAGUAAUGCUUAGGAAUCUGCCUAUUAGUGGGGGACAACAUCUCGAAAGGGAUGCUAAUACCGCAUACGUCCUACGGGAGAAAGCAGGGGAUCACUUGUGACCUUGCGCUAAUAGAUGAGCCUAAGUCGGAUUAGCUAGUUGGUGGGGUAAAGGCCUACCAAGGCGACGAUCUGUAGCGGGUCUGAGAGGAUGAUCCGCCACGCUGGGACUGAGACACGGCCCAGACUCCUACGGGAGGCAGCAGUGGGGAAUAUUGGACAAUGGGGGGAACCCUGAUCCAGCAUGCCGCGUGUGUGAAGAAGGCCUUAUGGUUGUAAAGCACUUUAAGCGAGGAGGAGGCUCUUUUGGUUAAUACCCAAGAUGAGUGGACGUUACUCGCAGAAUAAGCACCGGCUAACUCUGUGCCAGCAGCCGCAGUAA